RNAcentral lists this long non-coding RNA (15318 nucleotides) under Ananas comosus (pineapple). RNAcentral describes it as "long non-coding RNA (ACOM_LNC010506)". Lineage: Eukaryota; Viridiplantae; Streptophyta; Magnoliopsida; Poales; Bromeliaceae. The record is from RNAcentral.
AUAAUUUUAGUUCUAUCCUUGUCACCCAUGCAUCACAUCAGCGCCACGCAAGUAGGCUAGGACGUUAGUUGAACACGGUGAAUCAUAUUCAAACACGGUGACUGUUUCACUGUGUUCCAUAUUUACAUUUUCCUUUACUGUGUUUAGACACGAUGAAUGAAUUAUCGUGUUCAACUCAUUCCCUUACUAAUGUGGCGCUUACGUGGCACCUGUGUGGCGGGAUAGGGCUAAAAUUGUAAUUAUAAAUUUGGUAGGAUUAUUUGUGAAAAUAAUAUUUUUGAAGGGGGAAAAUGCAAAAAAGGUCUCGAUUCUAUUAAAUCAAACGGCCCUGAGGCAGAUUUUUAUUCUUUAUAACUAGAGAUUCAAGAAUUUUUUACAUAAGAUCAAUAGGUGGGUCUAAUUUUGGCAACCAGCUAUUCGAAUUGGCAAAAAAUCGAACGCACGUUUUCAAAACAAAAGUUCGGAAAAUAAACCAAAAUUUGACCGCUUACAAAUUUUAAUUUGAAGGAUUAAUAAUAUUAUGAGUAGGGGUGGAAACGAGCCGAGCUCGAGCGAGCUUAUGUCAUCUCAAAUUCGGCUUGAAAUUAAUUUCGAGCCUUAUCUAGGCUCAAGCUUCGCUUUGAAAUUAUUCGAGCGCAGCGUGAGACUAUUCGAGCUGAGCUCGAUGUUCGAGCUCACUGAGCUCGCUACAUUGAAUUCUCGCAUUAUAAAUCAAUAGUUAAUUUUUAUGAACUUUAUCUACAAUUUGAUGCAACAUGCCAAUAAUUCAAACAAUUACAAUAAUACUUUAAAAAUGUGAGGCUCGAGGUGACUUCCUGACUGAUGAGGGUCUUAAGAAGAGAGAGAGAGAAGAGAGAGAUGAGAGAGAGGAAAAAAGUAGGGAUUUGAAAAUUUGAAUGUUAUCAUGUUUUGGAGUUAUGUGACAACAGUUGAGAAAGUGUUAUGUAAACUUUAGAGUUGGGCUCAAUUGUACGUUGUACUUGUUGGCGUUUAUUUUAUGGGCCACAAUAAUGGACCCAAUUAAAUUUAAGGCUAUAUAUAUAAUUAAAUACAUUUAUUUAUAGAAAUUUAUAUAUAUUUAUUAUAGGUUCGAGCUACUAUACUUCUUAUGAAGUAUUGGUUUCUUAUACUCAUAAGUUUCACCUUAAAUUUAUUCCAUUAAUCAUUUAAUCGUUAGAUCAUACUAUUUACCACACUACCCACUAACCCUAUGGCGGACCACGUAUCUUCGUAAGUGGGGACACCAUCAUCCUAAAACAAUCCCAUCGAAUCACGUUUAAAAAAUUUAUGAGUUAAGGGGUCUAUUAUAUAGAUAUGUAGCCGGCCUAUAUAUUAGUAUAUGUAUAUGUAUAUGUAUGUAUAGUAUGUAUAUUAUAAUAUAUAUAUAUAUGUAUAUUGUAUAUGUAUAUUAUGUUAUGACUUAUAUAUGUAAUAUGUUUAUAUGUAUGUCUAUAUUAUAUGUUAGUAUAUUAUAUAUGUAUGUAUUAUAUAUAUGAUAGUAUGUAUAUAUAUAUGAUAUAUAUAUGUAUAUAUAUAUAUUAUAUAUGUAUAUAUAUAUAUAUAUAUAUAUGAUUUAUAUCUAUAUAUAUGUAUAAUUAUAUUAUAUAUAUGUAUUAUAAUAUAUAUAUAUAUGUAUAUAUAUUUAUAUAUAAUUCCGAGCUUUUCGAGCUUUUCGCAGCUAUUCGACGAGCCGAGAUAAUAGCGUCAGCUCGGCUUGAAAUGAAUUUCGAGCCUUUUAUUUUGUUCAAGCUCGGCUCAUUUAAUUUCGAGUCGAGCUCGAGCGAGCCGAAUAUCGAGCCGAACACGAGUCGAACGCGAGCCGGCUCGCUCAUUUGCCAGCCCUAAUUAUGAGGCGUAUGUACACUCCUGCAUGGAUGAAUUGCAACAUCUCUAAAAAAAUUUAAAAUUUGAGCGGUAAAUAUAAAAUUGUAAAAGUUUGGAUGGUGUGUAAAAAUUUUAAAACCUUAAGGGGUUAUCUGCAAAUUGCUUAAAAUUCACUUAAAACUUGAGUUAUCUUCGCAAACUAUUGUUAAAGAACUAAAGAACUAGGCCAAAUCUAGAAACUUAUUCAUUUUUAAACACAUUAGUCAUGUAGCACAGUUACAGUUCGGCAAUGUAGGAAUCGGGUGUAGCCGAAUACUACCUUCACCUACAGGGACAGUUUUUAUAAGAGCUCUUUUUCCAUUUGAUCCUCGAAAAAAAAAAAAAAAUUAAAAAUAGUCCUACGAAAUUUAUAAUUAUAAUUUUGGUCCUAUUCCUAUCACACAAGCGCCACGUCAGCUCCACGCGAGUGGGACUGGGAUCAAGGUGUUAAGUUGAACACGAUGAAUCAUUCACUAUGUUUGGACACGAUGAAUGGUUCACCGUAUUCAGUGACUUAUAUUACUCGGAAGAAUAAUAUAUUAAAUACAGUGAACUAUUCACUAUGUCCAAACACGGUCAAUCGUUCAACGUGUUUAGACACGAUGAAUAGUUCACCGUGUUUAAACACGGUGAACCAUUCACUAUAUUCAGUAGAACUCUACCCAGGUCAUUGCAGAUUUCAGCACAAUAACACAACAAAUCAUGAUACAUCGAUAACUUAACAAAUUCAACUUUAACAACACAACAACAAAUCCACCACAACAACACAAUAAUAAAUCCAACAGAAUAUCAAUAGAGCAUCAAUACCAUAUUAUCACAACAAAAUAUCAAAAAAUAGAGCAAGUUUAUCAAUAAUUUAAAAAGUUCUAUACAAUUUAAAAUUUACAAAAAUGUAAAGUCAUAUUCUCCUCCUAAUCUCUUGACCACAUCUACCUACACGUCCCCUACCACGACCGCGACCACGAUCAACACUAUACUUGUCGAAGAGCAAUGUGACUUCCAACUGGUCGAAAUGUUCGAUAGCAGCACCCUCCACAACUGGCUGAGUAUCCUGCGUCUCUAUCACCUGUUUCAUCUCGUGCUCAACCAUAGCAGGUGUCGGUAGUAUGUCUGGUCGUGGAGGAGCUGAAGAUGAGAGCUAAUUUGUGUGGAGAGACUGCAACUGUCAUUGGCGCCUAUGAUAAACAAUAUCAGCUAGUCGAGGUGGAUCCUCUUGUAUUGGAGAUCCUCUGGUGUUGGCAUUGUGUCUGGAUAAUAAAAUGACUCCUCUAUCGGUGAAGAUGGCCUCGGUGGACUAUACAGUGGGACAUGAACCAACGUCGAUAGUCCACCAUAUUUUGUUGGCCGUGGAGGUACAGUGUCUGGAAGCGUAGGUAGAGUCUCCAAAACCGCUUCCAUUUGAUCGGCACCUUGUGAUAAAGCUUCUAAUACUCCGCCAUAUGAAAUAUCUGACAGGACACGUGUCACGCCCCAAAUUACCAUGUUUCCCCGGGCACGCUAACAGACCCGCCGUAUACAUUAACAUUUUUCACGAAGUGAUAGCUAUACCUGUAAACAAGUUAUAACUAUAGCCAAGAGUAUAGAGCUGCUAGAACUGAAAUAUAUACAAAAUAUAAAUCAUCCACUGUACAUACAAAAACCAACAGCACAACCUCGCUCCAGCGAGUACAACUAACCAUAAUAGUAUGUACAAGGCAAAAUCUAUCUAACUCUGCAAGGGUACUUCUCUAGCAAUGUAAUACAUUGAACUUACGCAAAUUGCGAAGUUCGAGUGUGUGGAAGGAUAUUUGGAGCUAUCCUACAUCUUCUAAAGGGUUUAGAGAAGAUAUUGGACAAGUUUGAGAGUGAUUGGAAGGCCAGAAGCAUGAAAGUGCAUUGUUCUGGCGAAAUUCAGCAUUUUUUUGCAUUGUGUACCGGUACAGCCAUCAUUGUGUACCGGUACACAAUGACAGAUACGUGGCAGCAAGGCUAAUUUAGUAAUUUCACUUCUUUAACCCAUCCUUAUCUACCCAGCACGACCUCUGGAGCUCCUUAGAUGAUCCUAGAGCUCAGAGAAGUGUUCUUGCACCUCUCUCACUUUCUCUUUCUAGGGUUUCUCUCUCUUCGAGUAGAAGUCGCCGAUUCAAGCCGAUUCCGCGUUCCGCUCGAUGUUCGCUGGUUUGGAGACUCAAGGAAAGUCUUUGGCAUGUGGGGAGAAGGAUUCUUACUGAAUUUCUGAGGUCCUAUCACCAGGGGAAGCUAAGUUGCAGCUUUUGAUAAGUAUUUUGCUUAAGACUUCUCUAAUUUGAAGUUUAGUAUCGGAAUUUGAGUUGUUUUAGUUUCUUUGCUCCCAGCUGAAUUAGGAGUUUCCAGCAGCUAGAGAGGAGUUAGUUAGCUGUGAUUUAUCCACUUUAGACCAGGGAUAAGCUGCUUUGAAGCUUGAUAACGGUAAUUAGUUAUCUAUGACUCUAGUUCGGCUAUACGAGGUUUAAGCGAGUAAAUUGAUGCAGUUUGGAAUUGUUUCUUCGCAGCAGGUUUCCGAACCACCUUGAGCUAAAUUGGUGACCUUGGGGGACUGGUUUGAAAGGUGUUUCAACCAAGGGUAAGUAGAAAUUUCAAUUAGAAAACUGAUUACGUAAGAUUCCGACUAUAUUAACUAGUAUACAAGUGUUUUGAUGCCGUUUGGUGAUUACUCGCAGCAAGGUUGCAAUCGACCGUUGGAUUAUCUUUGACUAACUUGUGAGAGCUUUUGGAGGUUAAACUUGAGGUACUAAAGUGAACCAAAGUAGGGAUUUAAGUUACUACUAUGUACUAAGUGAGAAUUUUGCCGAUUUCGGACAUUUUGGCCAUCGCUUCAAUGCGAUUUUGAUACUCAGUUUUCAGCAGGUUUGAGACCUAGCGAGCUGAAUUUUGGGACUCAGUUGGGGCUGGAUCGAGCUUAGUGCUAGGUGGGUUUGACCUAACCAGAGCAAGUGAAGCUCCCCUAUGUUCUAUAUGUUACUAUAGAUUUGGUACAUAGGUGCAUUUUAUGAUUAUGUGAUUGAUAAGGAUUUGAAACAUCAUCGCCGCAUCGGUUGAGAUAUUGUAAUGAAACCUCUAUGAAGGAGAGAGAACUCAUGCAUAAAAGUAUUCAUGCAUAAAGUAUUCAUGCACUAAAGUAUUCUUGUUUAGUUCAAUUGAAUAACCAAGAGAUAAGUUUAUUAUGCUUCUAUAAAGUAGAGAACAAUUACAUUCUCUUGACCCUAUUGAUAGUAUAUGAAUAGUGAGAAGUUUCUAAUGCAAUAUGUAAAAUUGGCAUUACUUUUAUGUGUUACUAAUCUAGUGGAUACUAGCAAGUUUCAUUGUUUAUCAUAUUGAGAAUUCCGAUCAAUAGAUCGAGAGUGAGAACAGAGUGUACUAUGACAUGAUGGUUGAGACAUAUUGGGCUAUGGACUUUGCUUGCUUGCCAUCGUGCUCAUUCGCACACGCUUGUGAGGGUAGCUCCCUACAAGCCGGCACUCCGGAGUUGGCCUACGCGACAGUUGCUCGCCCGUGCGGGAUUGGGUGCCGAAGUGGAUUGCCGUGGGGAGUAUAUACUACCACGAGGCAAUCCACUUCGGCACCCAAUCCGUGGGGAGUAUAUACUACCACGAGGCAAUCCGUGGGGAGUAUAUCCAAUACUUUUAUUAUUCAGUCGAUUCAUUACUGCAGAAAGUAUGAUUACAUGUUGAUUAUAUGUUCAUUACCUAUUACCUGUUAACAGUAUAGAUAUAUCAUGCAAUUACUGCUUUUACUUUCAUUCAGUAUAUCAUGAGCCUAGUGGUGUAAUUCGCCGAGGCUGGCGGCUUACCCACUGGGAACUAUUGGAUAAUAGUUCUCACGCCCUUUUUAUUGUUGUUUUUACAGAGUCACCUACAGGAGAGGCUAGGGAUCGCGGCAAGGGAGUCGCGUCUAGCUAGACAUAGCUUGAUGUUUGCUAGUUGAUCACCUUCCUACUCGUGCCACGGCCGAGGGUGAUGUAUCCAUGUAUAGAGAGACUACCAUUGUACAUGUAUUUUUAGUAACCCUGUGAUGUAUAUGAGUAGUUUGAAUCGGGGAUUUUAGUUUUGAUUUUGCUCUUUGAUGUUGAGAUUUUUGGUUGUAUACUCCUUAUUCCUCUGAUGAUGGUAUUAUAGACUUAUACUUGCUCUGAUAUCAGGAUAGGAUACUUCUAUGUUUUCCUUCUAUCGACAUGUUUUCUUUGUAGACGCCUUAUAUACUGCAGGUGUAUGGCGGGUCUGUGCACAUGCCGGAUAUGCUUCCGCUGAUACCCGGGCGUGAUAAGCAAAAGACCCGGGAAGGGAAGACUCUAGCUCGCGACUCCCUUGCCUCUGUCAGAAUCCACAGUAGCAGCAGCAACGGACGGCUCUGCAAAAAGGUAACAACAAUGGGGUGUGAAAACUACUGCAAAACAGAGUAGUCCUCAGUGGGUACAGUCACCGACCUCAACGGCCCACCAACUAAGUUACAGUAAGGUAUGCAAAGGAUAGAAAAUCUGGAAGAAACUCUAUAGCUAUAUGCUACUAUAUUAUCGCUAUCCCAAACCAAGCUCACUGUAGAUAAAGGAAUGCAUCGCUAGCUACACACUGACCCAAUCUCAAGGGACUACCGAUUAGCUCGUCCAGCCUGUAUCCAAACUACACCGCACACCACCCACGGGAUGGCCGGUCCAAGAAACUGUUCAAACAGGAAUACUGCAACAUCAACGCAAGAAAAGCCUCACUCUAGAGCGGUACUCGUGGGCGCGACCCAAUCGAGUAUGCAAGCGUGUCUUUUCCGAGCUCAAUCAGGCUCACACAGGCUAUAGUCAAUGCAAAUGGGUUCAACUAGUCUAACAACCAAGAUUCACGUGCCCUCGGCACAAUCUAAUACAAGAUGGGAAAAUUUGGGUCCACCGUCAGUCUCGACGGCACCCAACAAUACAAGACAGUCUAACCCUGCUGAAAAAAAUGAUCUCGGCCUCUCAGUACGAGCGUAAUCUCAACCUACACUAAUCUAAGUAUCCACGACGCACUAACAGCAGUGAUACAAAAGAAAAGUCAGUUCCUGAAGCUAAAUUUGAUAACUUUUCAAAAAAUGCAAUAUGUAUGUUCUAUAGGUUUUCUCCUACGUCAAGUUCCAUUUCAACAUGUAAAAUUUAUCUAAACUCAUGACUUUAAGCUCCAAAUUCAGAUAUCAUAUAUAAACAUGCAAAUCAAAAUUUGAGCUACUAAAUAGGAUAAUUCAUACAAAUUAAUGCAUGCUGAAAUCUCAUACAAUUUAGGAGAAAAUCCGAUGAUUUCGGUGUACAUUAACCCACCUAAUACGCUAAUCCAAUCCCAGAAUGAACUAAAAUUUCACGAACACUUUCCUCUAGUUCUGAUUCAAAAGGGAGGCGAAGACAAUCCAGAAAUCCUGCUGCAUUUCAAAGCAUCAAUAGGUUCAGUUCGAAAAAGUAAAAGUGAUAACCAAUUCAAAUCUGCUGAUAAUACUUAAACCCUAGAUUCAUUACCUCUCUAAGAAUACAGCAAUCCACUUGAUUUGGGAACUUAACUCUCCGACUACCCUAAAUUACCAGACUAGAUUAUUGUUGCUGCUAGAAUCCUGUUAAAGCAUAAUUUUACUUGCGGAAAAUGCCAGCCGUUAGACUACAAUCUAACCAUCAAAUAUGCUAGAAGGAGGAGGAAGAGAUACAUUAUGAAAUCCUCAGCUCCUACACAUUGCUAACAUACGUUUACAUCAACUAUUCUGAAUCAAAAGAGGUUAGGAAUUGGGUCUAAUCAUCAAUGUGUAGUAUAUGCUAAUUUUAGAUAAUUUCGAAUCAAAAUCGAAAUUCUCCUUAUACUAACCUCCAAAUUAGCUCAAAGAACUCUUCCACUAGUUCAAGAUGAGGAUAAUUUCAUCUACGUCACCACCAAAGGACAGCUAAUAAAAUAGAUAAAGAGAAUUCCAUCAAAAUUCGGCUUCAACCACAAGUGGACUGCAUGAAGUUCUAACACAGCAUCAUAACAUUAAAUCAGCAAUUUAACUAUCAUGCUAUCUAAAUUUGAGAUGAAGGUUGCAGUCCACUAGAUCCUCUUACCUAUUAAAACACCUUCAUGAAUUAGAUUUUACUGCCAAUAAUUAAGAACGAGGUCAAAAGAACUCAAAAAAAAAAAGAAUCACCAAUGCUGAAAUUUUACUCACCCUACAAGAUUUUAGCAUUUAACUUCCACUAACAUGAUGUGAAGUGAAGUGAAUUAAUCACUUUUCUCACGUCUAAUAGCCAAUCUAAAACUUGUCACGCACGAGCCCGCUACCAAUUUGGUCCGGUUCGGGCGCGUUAAACAGACGCCGAACGGACAGUACCUCCCCUGUCUGCCUAAGGCUAAACAGCGAGAUCAUGUACAACAAGUUCCCAGGAAAUCACUUGAAUACAUACACAAUGAUACAACAAUAGCGAGAGCACAACCAGUACGAAACAACCAAGAGUAAGCAUCACAAGUAAAGUAUAUACGAGUGAAUAAAAGAGAGAUACUUAUCUAUUACAACCAUUCGACCUUUAUACAUCUGAUUAUAUUUAAACUUCCAAAACAUAACAUAAGGUUCACAAUCUUCCAAAAUAUCUUACACCUAUACAUUAUCUACUCUCAAGCAUAUAGGGUGACUACUAAUGCAAUAGGAAGCAUCUGCAACCUCUAGGGCGCUAAGCCCUUGCCACGAUCCUCGCCGGGGGUACUCAAGCUCGGCCCUACAACAAAGUGGAGUGAGAACUAUUGUCCAUAGUUUCCAGUGGGUUCGGCCGCCAACUCUGCCGAUCUCCCCACUAGGUCUAAGCAGGCAUAGGCAGAUAGAUAGAUAGAUAACUUGAAAGCAACGACAAUGAUAAGGAAAAAUGCAAGUACUCUACCAUGCCUUAAUCCAAUAUAAUAAAUGCAUGCAACUCAUAGUAAGGGCUAGCUACUAUACUACUAUGUUCAACCAUAAAACUAUUCAUUAGAUCACCCAAUCUCUCGGCUAACCCGGAGGCUUGCUCUCAAUCUCACGUUUUUGAGUCUCAUAGGGGAGGAGUCUCGCUGCUCAACUACCCCCGAGACCGCCUGCGGACAGCUAGCGGCUGUCUAGGUAGCACACGACGACUGCCUCUCGUGUGUCUAAACUCCGGAGUGCACAGCUUGUGUAGAGCAACCACUACAAGCGCAGACAGGCUAUGUGAGCACGAUCCAAUCCUUGUGAACCAAGGAUACCCUACCGAUUAGGGUUGUCAUCAUCAUGGAAUCAAUGUAUUCUUAUACUCAGCAUCCUAGUGCUUCGACUACACUAAGGUUCUCAUAUUCCACUCGUUCUUGUGUUUACAUUUAACUAGAUGCCACUCGUUAUCAAUUAAGUGUUUCCAAAACACUAGUUGUACACAAUCACUAGGUUUUCAUUCACCUAGGAUCCAAUCCACAUGUAUCAUCUCAUUAUAGGGUUAUUAAUCAACAUGUCUCAACCUCAUGCAUACUAGGCCCAAGUGUUAAACAAGCAACAUCACACUACCCCUAGCAUACAAGAAUAUACAACAACUAAUAAUGCACCCUAUAAUGUAUCAUGCUCAAUAUGCAACUUGAUCAAUAACGAGACUUAGACAUAGGGGCAGUUCAACUGCUUCGGGAUGGUCACCACUCACUUGUUGGCGAUGCUACGAAGUAGGAAAGGAACUCGAAACCUCCUAGGAUGCUACUUUGGCCCUCCGAAUAGAGACGAAGCCCAACGCCCUCCGCUUGGCAAUAUCUACGCACCAACUCGACGAAUAAUCGAACCGUCGCCGCCAACGCGUUUAGAUACCUAGCAAUUAGGUUUACAACCAACCAACUUAGAUCAAAACCCUAGAUUUCCCAAAACCCCAUUUUGGAGCCCUAGGUUGCAAUUAAUGCAUUAACUCACCAACAAAACCCUAGAUUCAUGCAAUUAGCACAUCACUAGCAUCAUAGGGUUUACCUAAAACCAAUCCUAGAGUAUGAAAUUCCUACCCUAGAAACCCACCAUUAAAGAGGUUGGAGCUUACCUCACUAGCUUGCUCCUCCUAAGCCUCCAAGCCCAAGAAGAAGAAGAAGAGGAAGAAGAUCCUUCUCUUGGUCUUAAGCUCCACCUAACCUCCCACCUUCUUCACUUCUAGAGAGAGAGCAAGAGAGUAAGCUCUAGAAAGAGAGAGGGAAGUGUUUAGAGUUGUAAAAGAGUGAAGAGAGAGAGAGAAGAGAUGCCCUAGCACUCUUAUGCACUCCCACUUACACACACUUGCAAGAAACCCCCUCAACUUUCAAUAUAUCACACAGCCCAUUUUUGGGCAUUUCAGGCUACGGGGACCGGUCCCUUUAAGGGAGGACCGGUCCGCGAGAGCAAUUUUCUCAGCUUGAGCUCCAGCUCAACCCUUACACGCGUAUGGGGACCGGUCCCUCUUAGGAAGGACCGGUCCCAAAGAGCAAUUCUGGCAGGUUGAGCAUCAGCUCAACCCCCACAUGCUUACGGGAACCAGUCCCCUCCCAGAGGGACCGGUCCCCGAGAGCAUAAAAUCUGCGAUUUGUGCAGAUUUUGCACUACUUGCUCUCGCGGGUCGUCCUCAAUGCACUUUAUGCAUUUCUAUCGCAUUCGGACUUCCCGAAGCAUACCAACUCGACAAUUAGCCGACUCUAAGCGAAGUCUAACUCUCGGAUUUCGAGAAUUCACUUCCUUGCAAAAACCAAUCCUAAGUUGCCGAAAAAUAAGAUUCAAAUCCCUCUCUAAUUCCUGCAAUUGGAGUUAGGUCGCUGCUGCUACCAACCUUCCUGAGCCUGCGCAGGGAAAGGAAACAGCAAAGAGGAAGGGAAUGAGAGGGGAAGAAAAAGAGAAGAAGUAGGAGAUGAAAAAGAGAAUAGAUGAUUCUAUUCUCUGCUGGGUACUUAAAGGAUAAGACUCUCAUUUAAGGGUGGUUGGGAGUAGUUAAGUUGCACACAAGGUGUUACUUAAGCACAUUAACAUGAUCCAAUUGAGAAUGCAUUCAGUUCAGAGUAAUUUGCAACAUCAAUUGUUGCGUCCAAACCAAAUCUGACUUCUCUCGGCACUCUCCCGAAGUGCCGACUAAAUCACAUAUCGCAAAAUUUUGAAAAAAUACUAUUUUGAUAUUUUUCCUGCACACUACAUCAGAUACAGUAGUCUUUCGACAGUUAAGCACCAGGGACACUACAACACGUCUAAUCGUAUAAUGUGAUCUUUGCAUAAUAUCGACCUGAAAUAAAAACACUCAUAAAAACUACACUUAACUUUCUUUAUAUAUAAAAAUAAAUAUAAAGAGAUAUUAUAUAUUAAAAUCAUACCAAUACUCUCUCGACAUGUCCACGUGGCUGAUUCGCAAGGGGUGGGCGCUGUACUAGUCUAGAUAUCCACCUCCUGGUGCUCCUCCAAUACUACUGCAUGUAAACAAUGGUAGCUCGUAUAGGAUCUGAAUCUAUUUCAACGUCCACCUCUACUAUAUUCAUCAAUUUAUCAUCCCAAUACUAAAUAUAUGAAGCAUGAUAUGUCAUCCAAUUCUCAUCUGCUCUAUCUCGUGAAGUGAUACGAGAUAUAACAACCACUGCUUCAGGUAUACUGUAGAAGAUCAAACUGUCGAAGCAAACGAUCUAAAAGAUGCAGCUCAAUAAUAUGGAAGCAGACUAAUGUGGUCCUAGAUCGCCAAACCUGGGACCCCGCUACACAAAAAGGUGGGAAUGUCUCUAAUACUACAUCUGUAUAAGGUCUCAAUGUAAUCUAUUGUGAAAAUAAAUAUGGUUACUUACUCUCUCGUUUUUAAAUAUAAUUUACAAUUAUAAUAAAAUUGAGUUACUUUCAUUUAUCUAAGACUCAUAGCUACUAAUCAAGAUGAUCACGAUAAAACUCAAUGUUAGUAGUAUUAACAUUAUCCCGAAAGGAUUCCUCAUCAUCACUAGAAUCAACAUCAAUUCGCCCUUGAUCCUCUUCAUCACUUUUAAUAAUAUACCCCUCAUCACUUUUAAUUAUGUCCUCAUUAUCAAUUGUAGUUCUCAUUUCCCAAUCGGUCCAUUUACGACCACUAAAUAAUGGACCUCAACUUUGAUUAUGAGGAAUACUCAACCUGCAAAGAUAUUUAAGAUUAACUAUUCGCAUUGGUCCAAUUUUUAUGUAACUAAAUUAUACAAUCACCUACCUCUUAUUUUGACCAAUCAAUGGAGACGGAUCCAUCGUAGUAGAUGGCAAUGAUGCACUAACUAGCAUACAUGGGACUCCAAACUCUCUAUAACACUUACAAAACAAAGUUAUUAAUUUUGCAUACAUAAACUAAUUGAGGAAUUAUAACAAAUAUUUAUACAAAUCAUUACUAUAUAUCUUAAUGUAGGAACUCAUUCGCAAUUGACAUAAUUUCUUUGAUAAUCACUACUAAGCAUUUCCAUGUAGUUAACAGUACUUGGACGGUCUUGUGUCGUCAACACAUGUUUCUCUACGAAUAAUUUUAUACAUUCAUGUAACGAAAAAAAACUCAUCACACCAAAUAGUGCAUUGUCACUUGAUAUGUUAACUUAUAAUUCUCAUUUGUUAGCUCCUAUUGGACAUCAAACCAUUAUGUGGAGACGGUUUUCCACUCAAUCAUAGUUAGUAACCCUUAUAUAUUUCCCUUUCAAAUUUUCGAAAUGUGAUAUUACGUUGAAUAGCAACCAAUUCUUUACUGCCACCAAGAUAUCGUGGUACAUUAUUGUUCACGACUAAGUUUUCGUCCCAAUGGAUAUAAAAAGUGUUAGAAUUCGUCCACAUUAGGAUUUAUCUAAAAUAUUCCUAAUCCAUAUGGAAUAAGGAAUAAAUAUUGGUAGUUAUCUAAGAUAUUCCUUGUCCGCAUGGGAUAAUAAAUAAAUCUAAGAAAUAUAUCCUAAUCUGUUUAAAUAUCUAUCUAUGUGAGAUACAGUUAGAAUAGGAUUAGGACUAACGUCUCCCUUAUGGCCUAUAAAUAUAUAAGGUAUUGGCCACUUUCAAUAUACAAGAAAAAUUAAUUAAUUUCUCCACAAAAGUCUCUCUCGGGUUCGUUCUAGGGCACCGUCGGAAACCCUAAGGAUUUGGGCGGUGUGCGGUGAUCGACUCUAGUAGCUAGAUUGCGACGAGUAAGAACAACGUGCAACAAAUUGAAAUAGGUAUUUGGCAGAUUAACGAGUUCAUAAAACAAGACGAGGUCUAAUCCUGGUAAUUGUAAUAUAUUCCGCAGUGAAAGAGGUAUGUAAAAAUCUAUAUGAUUUUUGUGAUUUAUUUUGGGUAUUAGUUUAUCCAACAGUGGUAUCAGAGCGGCGUAGUGCUUGUUUUCGCUCGAUGAUCUAUUUUUUUUUUUUAUAUCGAAUAGAUUUUUAAUUGUUGUUUUUUAAACAACAAAUUUGCAUUGAUUCGUAUAAGAGAAAAAAAAUAAUAAUAAUAACCGGCAAAAUUUUUGAGUCGCAAUUGGUAGACUACACCGGGUUUAGAAGUGCAUGAUAGACCAUCUAGCCCGUGAGCUCGACUAGAUUAGGCCCGCUGUGUGUUGGGACCGCAUGCAAGUUUGACCAGCAUACCAGGCCUACGGUGCCCACCCAUGAUGGACUUGCAGGGCUCGCUCGCAAUGGGCCUGCGAGGGCCUUCCCUAAUUGGGCCCUAACGCGUUGGUAGGCCCAAUGCCUUGGGCCGCGGAUGAGCGCAGGCUGCAUUGUGGGCCAAUUGCAGCUCGCAAGCCUAAUUCCGUAAUUCGUGGUCUUGAGUUAUGUUCGAUGUGAGACUUGAACCCACAGCCUUAGCAUAAGGCUUACUUCCUCUAACCAUCCAGACCAAUAUUUAAUUGUGCAAAAUUAUGUAUGUCAUAUUAAUAUGUAUUAGUUAUUGUCGUCUUAUAUACAUUAUAGUUACUUGACAAAAUUGCAAUAUUUUUUUAAUUUGCGAUGUGGAUUUAUUCUUGAUCAAUUUGAUAUAUUAUUUUAAUCUGUAUUGGAUGAGAUGAUUAUUUUCAAAGACGAAAUUUUUUAUUUCAAGAUGCAAUGAGAAAUUUUAUUAUCAAAUUGGAUUGAGAAUAAGAUUAUGGAUAUUUGUGCCUAAUUUAAAAUUAUAUGUAUUAUUAUAGUGAUAUAUGGUUUCCAAAAUAUUUUUAUCGCAGAUUUGCUAUUGAUGAAAAGAAUUAUGUCAUAUGGUAUAGAAAAAUUCAAUAUCUCCUUAAUAAAAGAAGAGUACUUAGCAUUUAACUAACAGCAUGGUUCGGCCUGAAGAUGGCACGACGAUCAGCACUGUUGUGAUUUGCAAGCGUAUAAUGAGUGGCUUGAAAAAGAUCAAAGUGCACGCUAUACGAUGUUGAUCUGUAUGCAUGAUGACUUGAUCAAAGAAUUUGAGAGUUAUGAGACUGCUAAGAAUAUGUUGGAGCAGCUCAAAAUAAAAUAUGUUAGUAUAUCAACCACGAGACUUCGUGUCUUGAAUCUCAAAUUCAAUCAGUACAUGUUGGACUCAAAAUAUACUAUGGCAAAGCACUUGCGGGUGAUGUUUGCCAUGAUAAGAGAACUUAAAGUAGCUGGUUGCGAGCUGACUAACGAACAACAGGUUUAGUCAGUUAUAAGGUCCCUACCGGAUUCAUCUUGGGAUCAAGUCAAGUUAGUGCUAACUCACAAUGAGGGUAGUAAGGCCUUCGAUGUUAUAGCUCGACAUCUUGAGUUGGAAGCAAAGCGCAGAGAGGCGAACCAUACAAACGCACUUGUUGCCCAUGGUGGAUAGUGCAGAGGCAAGUGGCCUAAGCGUAAACACCGAAAUGGAGAAAACAAAUAUAGAAGACUGGGAAUCGCACGUCGAAUGAGGGCGGAAUAGAUAAGCGCUGCAAAGGCAUGCGUGGAAAGAAAAACUUAAAUAAAGUGAAAUACUAUAACUGUGGAAACAUGGGACACUUCGCUCGUGAUUGCACUGAGCUGAAGAAGGUAAAUCCUAAUCCUGACUCUCUUAUUUAUGUAUGUUCUCAUGUUUUUGUUGCUCACGUUUUCUCUGAUUGGAUUGUAAACACCGGAGCAACAAAGCAUGUAACGAGAGAUCGAGCAGAAUAUGUGGAUUAUCAUCGAUGUCUACCGGCAGCCAUUAUGUCACGAUAGGAAACGACACUGCGGAAGAAGUCCUUGGUAUUGACGCAUACCAAUUUAGAUUGCACAAUGGUUGUUAUUUAAUAUUACAUGAUGUGCUGUAUGCACCAAAUAUUCGAUGUAAUCUAUUAUCAGUUUUAGCAUUUUAGAUUAGGUUUUUUCUUUUCAAUUUAUGGAUACCUAGUUAGCUAUUUAUUUGGGUAAGGACUUUUAUGGUAAUGGCUAUUUAAAGAAUGAUUUCUUUGUCUUAAAUUUGGACUUGGAUUUUAUUAAUAACAAUAAUAAUUUUGAUUUAUUAGUUUCUUCUGAUAUCGUGUCUAAUUCUGUAAAAUGGUAUGCAAGAUUGGGUCACAUUGGACAAGAAAGAAUAGUUAGACUAGCUAGAGAAAGCCUGUUGGGGUCACUCGCUAAG